This is an RNA transcript of Rosa rugosa (rugosa rose), 1634 nucleotides long. RefSeq lists it as uncharacterized. The transcript has 6 exons. NCBI's taxonomy places the organism in Eukaryota, Viridiplantae, Streptophyta, Magnoliopsida, Rosales, Rosaceae. The record is from RefSeq and is a predicted model, not a curated record.
GAGGGUGUAAUUAUUAGUUUACCACCACCCUAUACAGAUUACAGAAUACAGUUGAAAGAAAAAGAAAAAGAGAAAAAAGGGAAAGGGGGAAGAAACAGAAAAGCAGCAGUUAGUUUAGACUUUAGACGGAACGGAAGGAGGAAGAAGAAGAAGAAGGAAGAAUGAGUUGGCCCCUAGGGGGAGGGGGUUAUAAACCCUAAAUCGUCGUCGUCGUCGUCGUCGAUUUCUUAUUCGAUUUUGUUAUUGGUGAAAGAAAGAAGAGCGGAGAGCACUGGAGACGGCGGGUUAGGGAGGGAGUAUAUGAUGCUUUGCGAAGCAUUGCGUGAUCGAAUACAGGCAUGGCUUCGUGACUACGACAGGCUUCAAUAUUUGGCCGUCAUCCUCCUCUACAUUCAGAUUGCGUGCGCAUUGCUAGGAUCGCUGGGAGCAUUGUACAACGGAGUGUUGCUGAUCAAUCUGGCGAUUGCAUUGUUCGCUCUGGUCGCAAUCGAAAGUAGCAGUCAGAGCCUCGGCCGCACAUACGCCGUCCUUCUCGUCUGCGCCAUCUUCCUCGAUAUCUUCUGGUUCAUUCUCUUUUGUCACGAAAUAUGGAUUCUUACUCCCGGCGAUUAUACAGCUCUCUAUAUCUUUUCAGUCAAACUCACUCUCGUUAUGCAAAUCAUGGGCUUUUUUAUCAGGUUUUCCUCCUCAUUCCUGUGGAUUCAGAUCUACAGGUUGGGCCUUUCCUACGUAGUAGACCCUGCACCAACUCCUAGAGAUGCAGAUUUUGAUUUACGAAAUAGUUUCUUGAGUCCAACUACUCCCACGCCUGCUGUACUUAGACAAACCUCCGAUUCUAGUGAUGCCUUAGGAGGCUCUAUCUAUGAUCCAGCUUAUUACUCAUCACUCUUCGAAGAGAGCCAGAAACCAUGUGUGAGACAAAUCUAAAGGAUUUGGAUUUUUCUAAUAAGGUUCAACAUGCAAGAGAUGAGUAUGUGAAAGCCCUUAGGGAAAAUGUUUCGGUGGCAAUGGAUCUACAUCUGCUGCUGAAGCUUGUAAGGUGAAACCAUCUGUAGUCAGAUCUUUUCAGUUCAUAGAUGAGGAGAAGACAGCAAGCCAGCAUUCAGUUUAAUUUUGAAUAGGGUUAUCUCUGUUUUCUUUUUGGAUCCACUCCCAUUAUUGUUUAGAGGAUCAUUCACUUAGUCACUGCGGCCAGUCUGUGUAUGGGAGUGGGCUUGUACAGUCAAAACACAUUAUUAAGCAUUUUUUGCCCAGAUGGAAGCUGCCAAUCAAAGUAAAGGAACCGUGUGGUUUGGUAUGUCAAAAGCUUGGAUCAAGAUUCAAUCCCAUGCUCCUUGUUAUGUGGAUGAUGUUUCUUGGAUAUACAAUUACAUUUGGCAUGUUGAAUUGUCUGAGUUCAAUCGGGCAUGGUCCAUGUAAUGUGUAUCAACUUUCUGGAUUUGCAAUGAGGCAUAGAUUGUAUGCAGAUUGUGCGGCGGGGAAGUUGAGGUUAAGGAACCCAGGCAAUUGCCUUUUGUUCCCGUAGUAUAAAGAAUUGGUUGACCAUUCAGUUCAAUGGACCUUUGUUUUUGAUGGAUCAAACACUCCGUUACUAUAUCUUUUAACUAUAAUUGCAAGAUUUUUUCAAAUGUGUA